RNAcentral lists this ribosomal RNA (498 nucleotides) under uncultured bacterium. RNAcentral's name for it is "partial 16S ribosomal RNA". It matches the Rfam family "Bacterial small subunit ribosomal RNA", at positions 30 to 523 of the family's 1533-position model. The record is from RNAcentral.
AUUGAACGCUGGCGGCAUGCCUUACACAUGCAAGUCGAACGGUAACAGGUCUUCGGAUGCUGUCGAGUGGCGAACGGGUGAGUAAUGCAUCGGAACGUGCCCAGUAGUGGGGGAUAGCCCGGCGAAAGCCGGAUUAAUACCGCAUACGACCUGAGGGUGAAAGGGGGGGAUCGCAAGACCUCUCGCUAUUGGAGCGGCCGAUGUCAGAUUAGCUAGUUGGGGGGGUAAAGGCCUACCAAGGCAACGAUCUGUAGUUGGUCUGAGAGGACGACCAGCCACACUGGGACUGAGACACGGCCCAGACUCCUACGGGAGGCAGCAGUGGGGAAUUUUGAACAAUGGGCGCAAGCCUGAUCCAGCAAGGCCGCGUGCAGGAAGAAGGCCUUUGGGUUGUAAACUGCUUUUGUCAGGGAAGAAAUCUUCUGGGUUAAUACCUCGGGAGGAUGACGGUACCUGAAGAAUAAGCACCGGCUAACUACGUGCCAGCAGCCGCCGUAA